This 270-nucleotide ribosomal RNA is filed under the name uncultured bacterium. Its description in RNAcentral is "partial 16S ribosomal RNA". It matches the Rfam family "Bacterial small subunit ribosomal RNA", at positions 29 to 300 of the family's 1533-position model. The record is from RNAcentral.
AACGAACGCUGGCGGCAUGCCUAACACAUGCAAGUCGAACGCUUUUGGGGUUUCGGCCUCAAGGGAGUGGCGCACGGGUGAGUAGCGCGUGGGAACCUGCCCUGUUGUGGGGGAUAACCGAGGGAAACUUCGGCUAAUACCGCAUGCGCCGGUUGUCUUGAGAGAGAUGGCCGGGAAAGAUUUAUCGCAGCAGGAGGGGCCCGCGUCGGAUUAGCUAGUUGGUGGGGUAACGGCCUACCAAGGCGUCGAUCCGUAGCUGGUCUGAGAGGA